CCCUUCGGGGUGCCCAGGCGCGAAAACUUUGCAAUACACGAAAGUGUGACAGGGUCAUCCCGAGUGCCGACCGCUGAGGUUGGCUUUUACCCAGUCUAGAAAGCUGGGGGAAUAAGGAGAGGGCAAGUCUGGUGUCAGCCGCCGCGGUAAUACCAGCUCUCCGAGUGGUGUGGACGUUUAUUGGGCCUAAAGCAUCCGUAGCUGGCUGAACAAGUCCCCUGUUAAACCCACCGAUUUAAUCGUUGGUCUGCGGGGGAUACUGCUCGGCUAGGGGACGAGAGAGGCAGACGGUAUUCCCGGGGUAGGGGUGAAAUCCUAUAAUCCCGAGAAGACCACCAGUGGCGAAGGCUGUCUGCUAGAACGCGCCCGACGGUGAGGGAUGAAAGCUGGGGGAGCGAACCGGAUUAGAUACCCGGGUAGUCCCAGCUGUAAACGAUGCAGACUAGGUGUUUGGACGGCCACGUGCCGUUCUAGUGCCGCAGGGAAGCUGUUAAGUCUGCCGCCUGGGGAGUACGAUCGCAAGAUUGAAACUUAAAGGAAUUGGCGGGGGAGCAC
This 555-nucleotide ribosomal RNA is filed under the name uncultured archaeon. Its description in RNAcentral is "bacterial SSU rRNA". It matches the Rfam family "Archaeal small subunit ribosomal RNA", at positions 321 to 879 of the family's 1478-position model. The record is from RNAcentral.